GCCAAUGUAGCUCAGCCUGGCAGAGCAUCUGAUUUGUAAUCAGAUGGUCGAGGGUUCAAAUCCCUUCAUUGGCU
This 74-nucleotide transfer RNA is filed under the name Candidatus Nitrosotenuis chungbukensis. RNAcentral's name for it is "tRNA-Thr". It matches the Rfam family "tRNA". Rfam says of the family: Transfer RNA (tRNA) molecules are approximately 80 nucleotides in length. Their secondary structure includes four short double-helical elements and three loops (D, anti-codon, and T loops). Further hydrogen bonds mediate the characteristic L-shaped molecular structure. tRNAs have two regions of fundamental functional importance: the anti-codon, which is responsible for specific mRNA codon recognition, and the 3' end, to which the tRNAs corresponding amino acid is attached (by aminoacyl-tRNA synthetases). tRNAs cope with the degeneracy of the genetic code in two manners: having more than one tRNA (with a specific anti-codon) for a particular amino acid; and 'wobble' base-pairing, i.e. permitting non-standard base-pairing at the 3rd anti-codon position. Lineage: Archaea; Thermoproteati; Nitrososphaerota. RNAcentral also lists the same sequence under 5 other names. The record is from RNAcentral.